GACGAACGCUGGCGGCGUGCUUAACACAUGCAAGUCGAACGGAAAGGCCCUGCUUUUGUGGGGUGCUCGAGUGGCGCACGGGUGAGUAACACGUGAGUAACCUGCCCUUGACUUUGGGAUAACUUCAGGAAACUGUGGCUAAUACCGGAUAGGAGCUCCUGCUGCAUGGUGGGGGUUGGAAAGUUUCGGCGGGUGGGGAUGGACUCGCGGCUUAUCAGCUUGUUGGUGGGGUAGUGGCUUACCAAGGCUUGGACGGGUGGCCGGCCUGAGAGGGUGACCGGCCACAUUGGAACUGAGAUACGGCCCAGACCCCUACGGGAGGCAGCAGUGGGGAAUAUUGCACAAUGGGCGGAAGCCUGAUGCGGCAACGCCGCGUGCGGGAUGACGGCCUUCGGGUUGUAAACCGUUUUCGCCUGUAACGAGGCGUGAGUGACGGUAAUGGGUAAAGAAGCACCGGCUAACUACGUG
RNAcentral lists this ribosomal RNA (468 nucleotides) under uncultured bacterium. RNAcentral's name for it is "partial 16S ribosomal RNA". It matches the Rfam family "Bacterial small subunit ribosomal RNA", at positions 28 to 507 of the family's 1533-position model. The record is from RNAcentral.